AGGAAUAUUGGUCAAUGGACGAGAGUCUGAACCAGCCAAGUAGCGUGAAGGAUGACUGCCCUAUGGGUUGUAAACUUCUUUUAUACGGGAAUAAAGUGAGGCACGUGUGCCUUUUUGUAUGUACCGUAUGAAUAAGGAUCGGCUAACUCCGUGCCAGCAGCCGCGGCAAUACGGAGGAUCCGAGCGUUAUCCGGAUUUAUUGGGUUUAAAGGGAGCGUAGGCGGACGCUUAAGUCAGUUGUGAAAGUUUGCGGCUCAACCGUAAAAUUGCAGUUGAUACUGGGUGUCUUGAGUACAGUAGAGGCAGGCGGAAUUCGUGGUGUAGCGGUGAAAUGCUUAGAUAUCACGAAGAACUCCGAUUGCGAAGGCAGCUUGCUGGACUGUAACUGACGCUGAUGCUCGAAAGUGUGGGUAUCAAACAGGAUUAGAUACCCUGGUAGUCCACACAGUAAACGAUGAAUACUCGCUGUUUGCGAUAUACAGUAAGCGGCCAAGCGAAAGCGUUAAGUAUUCCACCUGGGGAGUACGCCGGCAACGGUGAAACUCAAAGGAAUUGACGGGGGCCCGCACAAGCGGAGGAACAUGUGGUUUAAUUCGAUGAUACGCGAGGAACCUUACCCGGGCUUGAAUUGCAACUGAAUGAUGUGGAGACAUGUCAGCCGCAAGGCAGUUGUGAAGGUGCUGCAUGGUUGUCGUCAGCUCGUGCCGUGAGGUGUCGGCUUAAGUGCCAUAACGAGCGCAACCCUUAUCGAUAGUUACCAUCAGGUUAUGCUGGGGACUCUGUCGAGACUGCCGUCGUAAGAUGUGAGGAAGGUGGGGAUGACGUCAAAUCAGCACGGCCCUUACGUCCGGGGCUACACACGUGUUACAAUGGGGGGUACAGAAGGCAGCUACACGGCGACGUGAUGCUAAUCCCUAAAGCGUCUCUCAGUUCGGAUUGGAGUCUGCAACCCGACUCCAUGAAGCUGGAUUCGCUAGUAAUCGCGCAUCAGCCACGGCGCGGUGAAUACGUUCCCG
Molecule: ribosomal RNA, 1016 nt
Filed under: uncultured bacterium
Lineage: Bacteria
Description: bacterial SSU rRNA
Rfam family: Bacterial small subunit ribosomal RNA
Source: RNAcentral